RNAcentral lists this ribosomal RNA (253 nucleotides) under uncultured bacterium. RNAcentral's name for it is "partial 16S ribosomal RNA". It matches the Rfam family "Bacterial small subunit ribosomal RNA", at positions 524 to 776 of the family's 1533-position model. The record is from RNAcentral.
UACGUAGGCAGCGAGCGUUGUUCGGAAUUACUGGGCGUAAAGAGUGUGUAGGCGGUGCUCUAAGUUCGGUGUGAAAUCUCCCGCUUAACUGGGAGGGUGCGCCGGAAACUGGAGUGCUCGAGCGUGGGAGAGGAAAGCGGAAUUCCUGGUGUAGCGGUGAAAUGCGUAGAUAUCAGGAGGGAACACCUGCGGUGUAGACGGCUUUCUGGACCAUUGCUGACGCUGAGACACGAAAGCGUGGGUAGCAAACAGG